CUAUUACUCCCUCCCUCCAACAAAAGAUGUCUCAUGUUUGUCAAAAUUUGGAUGUAUAAAUGCAUUCAAAUUUAGUCAAAGUUGAAACAUCCUUUGUUGGACGGAGGAAGUACAUG
Molecule: non-coding RNA, 116 nt
Organism: Brachypodium distachyon (stiff brome)
Lineage: Eukaryota; Viridiplantae; Streptophyta; Magnoliopsida; Poales; Poaceae
Source: Rfam